This 253-nucleotide ribosomal RNA is filed under the name uncultured bacterium. RNAcentral's name for it is "partial 16S ribosomal RNA". It matches the Rfam family "Bacterial small subunit ribosomal RNA", at positions 524 to 776 of the family's 1533-position model. The record is from RNAcentral.
UACGUAGGGUGCAAGCGUUAAUCGGAAUUACUGGGCGUAAAGCGUGCGCAGGCGGCUUUGCAAGACAGAUGUGAAAUCCCCGGGCUCAACCUGGGAACUGCAUUUGUGGCUGCAAGGCUAGAGUACGGUAGAGGGGGAUGGAAUUCCGCGUGUAGCAGUGAAAUGCGUAGAUAUGCGGAGGAACACCGAUGGCGAAGGCAAUCCCCUGGACCUGUACUGACGCUCAUGCACGAAAGCGUGGGGAGCAAACAGG